UAGCAACGUACCAAGUCUAUAAUGCCAACUGCGCUAAUGACAAUUAUAGAUGUAAACAAAAACAAAACAGUAUUAGCAUUUUGGUGAAGGGUUGUUUAAUUCAUAAAUAAAAUUAUAUUUUUUCUGGUAAAAUCGGCGAAAAGGGUGAAAAAAAGUCUAUCAUUUGCAGUUUGCGUUCUUGUGUAGUACCUGCAGAAUACUUGCGAAGAAUAGCGAGAGAGGAAUCCGUCUAAAGCACGAGGAGAAGAAAAACUAUUAAUUUUUGAGCUGCACGAGAUUAUCGUCUGCUACGAAAAAUACGUUGUUUCUUCGGAUCCGAACAAACUCAAAAAUUAAUAACGGAUAUAACCUCAAAUAUGGACGGAGCCGCGAAUUUCACUCUAACACCGUGCGGGGUGUGUCAUCAGACGUCGGUUGUUGCC
Molecule: long non-coding RNA, 422 nt
Organism: Topomyia yanbarensis
Lineage: Eukaryota; Metazoa; Arthropoda; Insecta; Diptera; Culicidae
Exons: 3
Source: RefSeq, a predicted model, not a curated record